GAUGAACGCUAGCUACAGGCUUAACACAUGCAAGUCGCGGGGCAGCAUGGGGGUUGCUUGCAAUCCCCGAUGGCGACCGGCGCACGGGUGAGUAACGCGUAUCCAACCUGCCCUUCACCACGGGAUAACCCGGCGAAAGUCGGACUAAUACCGUAUGUUGUCCAUUGACGGCAUCCGAUUUGGACGAAAGGUUUGGCGGUGAAGGAUGGGGAUGCGUCCGAUUAGCUGGACGGCGGGGUGACGGCCCACCGUGGCGAUGAUCGGUAGGGGUUCUGAGAGGAAGGUCCCCCACACUGGAACUGAGACACGGUCCAGACUCCUACGGGAGGCAGCAGUGAGGAAUAUUGGUCAAUGGGCGUAAGCCUGAACCAGCCAAGUAGCGUGCAGGAUGACGGCCCUAUGGGUUGUAAACUGCUUUUAUGCGGGGAUAAAGUGGCCCACGUGUGGGUUUUUGCAGGUACCGCAUGAAUAAGGACCGGCUAAUUCCGUG
This 490-nucleotide ribosomal RNA is filed under the name uncultured bacterium. Its description in RNAcentral is "partial 16S ribosomal RNA". It matches the Rfam family "Bacterial small subunit ribosomal RNA", at positions 28 to 507 of the family's 1533-position model. The record is from RNAcentral.